RNAcentral lists this ribosomal RNA (1503 nucleotides) under metagenome. Its description in RNAcentral is "bacterial SSU rRNA". It matches the Rfam family "Bacterial small subunit ribosomal RNA". The record is from RNAcentral.
AUUGAACGCUGGCGGCAGGCCUAACACAUGCAAGUCGAACGGUAACAGGAAGCAGCUUGCUGCUUCGCUGACGAGUGGCGGACGGGUGAGUAAUGUCUGGGAAGCUGCCUGAUGGAGGGGGAUAACUACUGGAAACGGUAGCUAAUACCGCAUAAUGUCGCAAGACCAAAGAGGGGGACCUUCGGGCCUCUUGCCAUCGGAUGUGCCCAGAUGGGAUUAGCUUGUUGGUGGGGUAACGGCUCACCAAGGCGACGAUCCCUAGCUGGUCUGAGAGGAUGACCAGCCACACUGGAACUGAGACACGGUCCAGACUCCUACGGGAGGCAGCAGUGGGGAAUAUUGCACAAUGGGCGCAAGCCUGAUGCAGCCAUGCCGCGUGUAUGAAGAAGGCCUUCGGGUUGUAAAGUACUUUCAGCGGGGAGGAAGGGAGUAAAGUUAAUACCUUUGCUCAUUGACGUUACCCGCAGAAGAAGCACCGGCUAACUCCGUGCCAGCAGCCGCGGUAAUACGGAGGGUGCAAGCGUUAAUCGGAAUUACUGGGCGUAAAGCGCACGCAGGCGGUUUGUUAAGUCAGAUGUGAAAUCCCCGGGCUCAACCUGGGAACUGCAUCUGAUACUGGCAAGCUUGAGUCUCGUAGAGGGGGGUAGAAUUCCAGGUGUAGCGGUGAAAUGCGUAGAGAUCUGGAGGAAUACCGGUGGCGAAGGCGGCCCCCUGGACGAAGACUGACGCUCAGGUGCGAAAGCGUGGGGAGCAAAACAGGAUUAGAUACCCUGGUAGUCCACGCCGUAAACGAUGUCGACUUGGAGGUUGUGCCCUUGAGGCGUGGCUUCCGGAGCUAACGCGUUAAGUCGACCGCCUGGGGAGUACGGCCGCAAGGUUAAAACUCAAAUGAAUUGACGGGGGCCCGCACAAGCGGUGGAGCAUGUGGUUUAAUUCGACGCAACGCGAAGAACCUUACCUGGUCUUGACAUCCACGGAAGUUUUCAGAGAUGAGAAUGUGCCUUCGGGAACCGUGAGACAGGUGCUGCAUGGCUGUCGUCAGCUCGUGUUGUGAAAUGUUGGGUUAAGUCCCGCAACGAGCGCAACCCUUAUCCUUUGUUGCCAGCGGUCCGGCCGGGAACUCAAAGGAGACUGCCAGUGAUAAACUGGAGGAAGGUGGGGAUGACGUCAAGUCAUCAUGGCCCUUACGACCAGGGCUACACACGUGCUACAAUGGCGCAUACAAAGAGAAGCGACCUCGCGAGAGCAAGCGGACCUCAUAAAGUGCGUCGUAGUCCGGAUUGGAGUCUGCAACUCGACUCCAUGAAGUCGGAAUCGCUAGUAAUCGUGGAUCAGAAUGCCACGGUGAAUACGUUCCCGGGCCUUGUACACACCGCCCGUCACUCCAUGGGAGUGGGUUGCAAAAGAAGUAGGUAGCUUAACCUUCGGGAGGGCGCUUACCACUUUGUGAUUCAUGACUGGGGUGAAGUCGUAACAAGGUAACCGUAGGGGAACCUGCGGUUG